AUGCCUAAUAUACUUAGUUUAACCUGUAUCUGUUUUAAUUCUGUUCUUUACCCAACUUUUUUUUUUGCCAAAUUACCCGAAGCUUAUGCUAUUUUCAAUCCAAUCAUGGAUAUUAUGCCUGUUAUACCUCUAUUCUUUUUUCUAUUAGCCUUUGUUUGGCAAGCUGCUGUAAGUUUUUGA
Molecule: ribosomal RNA, 180 nt
Filed under: Triticum aestivum (bread wheat)
Lineage: Eukaryota; Viridiplantae; Streptophyta; Magnoliopsida; Poales; Poaceae
Description: partial small subunit ribosomal RNA
Source: RNAcentral